RNAcentral lists this long non-coding RNA (35506 nucleotides) under Physcomitrium patens. RNAcentral describes it as "long non-coding RNA (PPAT_LNC014411)". Lineage: Eukaryota; Viridiplantae; Streptophyta; Bryopsida; Funariales; Funariaceae. The record is from RNAcentral.
UUUUUUUUUUUUUUCCUUUUUUUUUUUUUUUUUUUUUUUUUUUGUGUGUUUUUAUGACAUAAGUUUAUAUUGUCUUCUUAGAAUUCUAUCUAGAAUGAUGUCCUUUAAAAAAUGAGAUUUUUUUUUUUUUUUUUUUUUUUGCAAAGUAUUAUUCAAUUACCAACUUUUUUUACUUCUAAAUUAUUUAGAUAUACUAAUUAUAAUUUGAUUGAGUAAUGAAAUAUAGAGAUUUUAAAAGCAAAAGAUAAAAAAUAAAUUGACUAUUAAUAUAUAAUUAAUUAAUUAAUUAAUUAAUUAAUUAAUUUUGAUAUGUAAUUUGAUAACCAAGUAAACAACAAACAUACAAAUAUACAAACAUAAACAAAGAAAAAAAAAACAUAUAACAUUUUAAGCACAGAACUACUACUCUGAAUGUUUUCAGAAAUGGGGUAAUUAACAUUUUUUUUUUUUUUUUUUUUUUUCUAGUUUAUUAAGAGGGACUACAAAGGUUUAUUUUAUACCCCCACAUGUAUUCAUAUUUGAUUCCAAGGUGAGAUGGGAUGGGACUGAACGGCCCUUUUUCUAUAUUGUAAGAAAGCCUCCCUCCCUUGGCAAGGAAGGGUUUUCUAAUUGAUGAGUGAGUGGGUGCCAUCAAUCAUGCACGAUUCCGAAUGGCAAUAAAUGCACGGGUGCCAGUGCCAUUCCCCAUCACCCAAACCCCACUUUGGGCCCCAUCCCUGCCCAACCCAGCCUUUGAGCCAAUGCUUUAAAGCUGAAGGGAGACUGAGGACACAAAGCACAGGGAAAGAAAUAGGAGGGAAAGGAAGGGAGGGUGUCCACCUCGAUCCCAUGUCAUUUGGCGCCAAUCCCCAGAGUGCCUGCGUGUCCCCGCCAAGGUGGCCACUCCCGGGGUGACUUGGCACCAGUAAGGAUGGCUCGUCCCUCAAUAAUUAGAUGGGCAGUGGAGCAAGUGGUGGGCACUGUCUACACCCUUAAGUCAUAACGUGGGCAAUGUCUAUCCAAGUGCUUAUGUUGAAUUGUGAAUAAAACAUUAAAAAUAAUAAUAAUAAUAAUAAAUUCACUAUGUAUAUAAAAAAAAAAAUGCAAGAUAUGAUAUGAGUAAUUUAAUCUACUUUGUUACUAUUCUUUUACAUAUUGGUGUUUGUAAUGGAGGAAGAGACAGGAAGAGAUUAUUUGUUUGUCUCAACAAGCUAUUUUCCUCAUUUAGCAUAUCAAAUUCAAUUAAUAUUCUAGAAAAAUUUGAUGAUGUAUCCACUAUUUUUUUAAUUUUUUUCUUCUUUUUAUGCUUUAGGGAUUGUACUCACUUCAGUGAUAAAUCACCUAAAAGUGAGGAUGUAUCAAUGGAAUAAAUACCCUUUGGGCCCAUAAGACCCACCUAGCCAGACCAAAGGUAUGCCCACACAAUAACAGAUUAUGCACAGAAUCUGGUGCCAAGGGUGGUGGCAUAAGGACUAUGAUGUGUGGAAGAAGAAGAAGCUUCUACAACCAUUACAGUAUGGAAUGUCCCCAUUCCUGGACUGCUGGAUGCAGAGCUUUGAUGGAGAAGCGGAGCUCUAUGUAUAAAGGUUAGAUGUACAACAAUACAAAUGGUUAUCUGUAAAAAAAAAUAUUUACUUUUAAUAAAUUGCAUGUAUGUGUGUAUAAGCUGUGAUAACUGCAAAUCAUACACAAUUCAUUUAAUUUAUCUAGUAAAGUAAUGAAAAUAAACAAAAAAAUAUUUUUUUUGAAUAGAAAAUUCAAAAUUAUCAAAUAAUACUUAAACAUUUUCAUGAAAUUAAAAAAAAUCAAAUUGUAACCAAUGUGGUUUUAAAAGUUUGUGUGUAUUACUGUGUUUGUGUUCCUCUUCAAUGUGAUUUUUUUGUAAGCAUGGACAUGCAUAUCAAAAUAAUCUAUUAAGAAUUAAUCUAUUAAGAAUCUAUAAAGAAUUACCAUGUGUUUUAAUCUAUUAAUAAUCAAUUAAGAAUUACUAUGUUUUUAUUAAGAAUAUUUUUCAACGCCAACUCCAAACUGAAAUCCACGAAAUUAAGACUCACAUGGACAGAAAUGCCGAUCGGGCAUUCGUCGCCAACAUUCAUCUACAAAAGCUUCAUUCGUGAAAUGUCAAGUCAUUCAUCAAUAGUUUUUUCAUUCAUCCAUUGGCCACGGGUUGGGUCACGCGAAGUCGAGCUUCGCGGCUUCGGACGCGAUGAGCGAUGAGAUCCAGCUCUCUCGUUCAUUAUCCAACGGCCGUGCUAUUCAUCGAUCGAUCGAUCGAUGCGUUGUAGACCGCGGUGCCGUAGUAUUCGACGUCGCUCAUCUCCUUUACUAACUGCGCUGUAUGUAUUGCUUAUUAUGCCCUCACCCUUGGGCGCUCUCGCUUUUCCCAUUCCUCGGUAGACGCAAUUUUACAUCGCAGCUGCAGCUGCUUCAUUAGCGCGGUUUUUUCCUUCCGAGUCUCUUGAUUCCGCUUUUUGUACUGCAAGGGUGUUUCUUUCCUCCUUCAAUGCGAAAACCUCAGAGUCUGACGAGUUGGGUAUUCUUAUCACGUGGGUGAUGAUAUGACCCUCCUCCGUUCUUUACCAAGCUUUUGUUUUAGCGUUGUGCGCGUUCUAAUCCAGUCAGUUUUAAGUUGGAUUUUUUGUUCUACACCUUGAGAAAUAGAUACAUGUACCCUGUACACGUGCAUGUACUUCGUCUUGGUUUUGCAGUUGGGUGGUACUCAUGAGCGGCUCCAUCUGUAAUGCGGGAAUCAAUUCCCUUGUCCCGGGGGAAUCCGGGUCGAGUGGUCGAAGGCGUGUUGGGGUGGGCAGUCUACUGAUGAUGUCUGUGUUUUCAAUUAUUGGUGAAGAGUGAGAUUCUUGCAGUGGAAGGCGAGACUAGUUUUAGUUGCUUCAAUACCCCCCCCCCCCUCCUUUUUUUUUUUUUUUCUUUUUUUCCUGGUUAACUGGGGAGGGGAUGCCGAUAGAGGGGGUUCAAGUGUUUUUUCGUAUAGCAGCCUUAGUUGUCGGUGUCAUGUGCUCUGCACCGUGUCGCUUCCCUCUGUACUCAUCUGCCACAGUCAGACCUCAAGUCUGCGUAUGUGCAGCAGAGUGAAAGCACCAGGUUUCGCUUCUGAGAUGUGAGGAAUGAACUUAAAAAGAGAGUGCCAGGUUGUCGACAAUGUGGGCUAUCUCAGUUACCCAGAUGAUUGUGAUCCUCUGAUGUUCUCCGAUUCCAGAGCGGCAAACUUCACUAAACGAAGUUAAGUAUCAGGUUCGUUAGUAAGCCUCAGCGCGCGCCAUCUCUUACACUCGCGACUUCGGCGUACAUGGAUUGGUUCAAGCUCAUUUUUCAAGCAGUACUUGGAUUCAGCUGUUGAGCUACAUUCUUUCUCCUUGCUGUUCUGCCAUACCAGUCUUGACAUCGCAAGGAUAAAAGUGACGCCUUUCUAAUAACGUUUCACAAACUUCCAUUUCUCCAACAUGAGACACGGCAAGUUUGCUCGACUCGCCUAGGCCGUGCCGCCAUAGCCGAAGCCGUACUUCAAGUCUGAGCACAGUAUCUGACAGAGUGCGUUGGAUCUAGUUCGUUUCUUUUUCCAAAGGAGGUGCCAAAUGUUUUCGGCGAAGAUAUCUUAAAAGAGCUGUCAUCGUGUUCCUUGGCAGGCGUUUUUAUUUAUCACUUUGAUCCUUCUGCAGGUAAAUCUUUGGUAUUGCACGGCUGCAUAUGCGAACGCUGCACUUGUUCAAUUUUGUUUUUAUUUUCUGCUGUAAAAUCACAUGGCCUAGUUAGACAAUUCACUAGGUUAUUUGAAAUGUGACACAUACCGUCUACAAUGCCAAGGAACAUGCAAUCAGUUUCAAAGAAAUCACUGACGUCAGCAAUUAGAAGGGUAUUUUUUGAUCCGGUCAGGCCUGUUCAGUGUUUGAACAUUGGGCGUUCACUGUGGAAUUCACACUUCAAGCCAUUGUAUCUACUUAAGGUGACAUUCACGCUGAUAGUUUUUCUAAUAUGCCUUUAACACUUCAUAUUGGCCUUGAAGAUUGAUAGUACAGCAUGGGGAAGAGAAGCACGUGGUUUAGUACUGUCAAAAAAGCAUUUCGAUCCCCAUCCAAAGACAAUGUUAAAACCGCUCCCAGAGAUCUAGACCUUGUUGGUGACCUUCCACCCAUUGAGGUAACUAAAGCAAAGACUUGCUCCUCAAUGUCUCAUGGCUGCUAAGGAGUGCACUUAUGACUUGUAGAUCUGGAAACUGGUUUUAAGUUAGUUUCGUGGGUUACUGAUGCAUUCAUGGUGCGACAGGCCAAGUCAAAAAACAAGAAGAGAUGGAGCUUUGGAAAGUCAUCAUAUCAACCGUCUGCAACAGUAGACUUCAAAGAACAGUCAGCAGAAAAGAAAGAAGAGAACCGAAAACAAAUUUCAGAAAAACCAUCUGAUCCAGCCAUUUUUACCAGCCGCAAAGCAAGCACUACAGUUUGCUCGUUAACUGCCCUUUCGAAAAUCACAUCUCCAGAUGUUUGGGCAGCCAUCAAAAUCCAGACAGCGUUUCGAGCAUAUCUGGUACACAAUACUACUCUUGUCUUUAUCCAAUUAUCAAGCAUCCGAAUACUUUCAGAGGGAGCUCUGGGAUUAAUAGAUUCGACUCCCUCAAAGAUACAUCAAUUUGUCUCAGACGCUGCCAGAGUCAAUUUGAAUUGCGAAAGCUUCCAACAAAGAUAACAUAAGUUCAUUUCUCUGUGCACUGAUCUUCGUGGAUGGAAUAGAAUGUCAACGUUGCCCAUGUUGCCUUGCAUAGGCUCGGCGAGCAUUGCGUGCGCUUAAAGGUCUCGUACGAUUACAAGCCUUGGUUCGAGGCCACACUGUACGUCGACAAGCUACUAUCACACUACGUUGCAUGCAAGCGCUGGUCAGGGUUCAAGCUCGGGUUCGGGCUAGACGAGUACGUAUGUCCGAGGAAGGGCAAGCUGUGCAAAGGCAGUUGUGGGAACGGAGGCAGCUGGAAUCUCGUCCAAGGAAAUCGUUGGUAUGUGUGUCAUUGCCUACAAAUCCCUUUGCCUCUGCAGCAGUUUGAAAAAUUCGGCAUGUAGACGAAUUUUGCCUCAGUUCUUACGCUCUAUUCUAUCUCAAAAAAGUACAUUCUUGCAGGGAUUCAGCUAAGAUAUUGAACAGGUUAUAUCAUGUUUUCUCCUUACAGAAUCACCAUCUUUGUACAUGAUCUGUAGAACCAUCAACUAAUAAACUUGUUUUUACUAAUAUUGCAAAUUUACAUUGGAUAAACUGAGAUAGAUUUGAUAAGCACUUGAGGACGUAAUGGCAGGACGGAGGUUGGAAUGAUAGCACUCAAACAAUACAUGCAGAAAAAGUGAAAAUCCUGAACAAGCAGGAGGCCGCCAUGAAGAGAGAAAGAGCUUUGGCUUAUGCUUUCUCCCAUCAGGUUUGUGUUAGAUUCAUUCGCUCAGUUACGAUUGUAUUUGUGUAUGUUACUAUAAAUUAUCUCUGCUCGUUGAUAUUGUUCAGUCAACCUUGAACAGUUCACUUCUUAGCUGGCAGAAUCAGGCAUGCUCUUCGGGCUUUUUAAGCUGGAGGAUUCAUUUCUUACCGAUUUAUAACUGACAGUUGUGGAAGUCGGCCCCCAAUCAAACAUCACAGCUCCACAUAGAUUGCGAGCCCGACAAGCUCCACUGGGGUUGGUGCUGGUUGGAAAGAUGGAUGGCAGCGCGACCAUGGCGAAAUCGCACAUUCGACAUCUCUGCUCCAAAGGAUGUUUUUGAGGGCCACCCUGUCAAAACUGCAGACCUCAACACCGUUCAGAAGAAACACGAAGCUGCUGAUCCACGUCUUCCCACACCACACAGCAUAUACAACAAGCAAAGACUUCAUUCGGCACAAAACGGAGCCAUUAGAAGUGAAAGUUACUCAUCAAAUGGACCAUCCAUGUUUACCUCUAACGGCCACAACCAUUUUAGCCCGAGUACCAUGCAAAGAACAACAAGCCAGGGUGCGCUGCAACCCCCAGCAACUCCACCCUCAGGCCACAAGGCAACACCUUCCCUAAUCCGAUCUGCCAGUCCUCGCAACCUUAUCAGGAGGGAAGAGUUGGAAGAAGGGGGAAGCGCUGUUUCAACCACAGCAAGGUCUUCUCCUUCUGCCUUUCGCUUUGGCACUUGCUACAGCCAUGCAGGAUCCAUACGCGAUGAUGAGAGCUUAGCAAGCUGUCCCUCUGUUCCAAACUAUAUGCAAGCCACACAAUCAGCAAGAGCCAAAGUGCGCUCGCAUAGUCAACCUAAGCAGCGGCCUGGGACCCUGGAGAAAGAUGGAUCGUGGGGCUCUGCAAAAAAGCGACUCUCAUUUCCGAUUUCAGAGAACCUCAUCAGCAAUUCUGGUCCCAUCAUGAAACCCUUUCGUCCUGCCGCUUAUCCUCAACGAAGUCCAAGCGUCAAAUUAGGAGUCCGCACCGAACGAUACGUGUUUUCGAUGGGCAACGAUAGCCAAAACGGCGAUGCUGUAACACCUUCUUCUACUGAACUUUCAAGUUCCAGAGCGCCAUUUCGGUGACUUUCUAUUUAUUCUUCACAUCAUUUUCCUUUUCCUAUUUAUAGUUCAAUUACCCACAUCAGGUAGUGCUGUGUGCGCUCUGUUUCUGAGCUGGGUACUUUUUCCUUCGUUAUUUGUGAAAAUAGUUAGAUAUUCAACUGUGGUAAUGGCUUUGUUUUGGCCUGCUUUUCAGAAAUAUAUCCAAGUUGUAAUCACACACUUUAGGAUCACGGGUACCUAUCAGUUAGGCUCCUGUGAAAGUGAACUCCAUUACAAGUAGGUACUGCAAUAAUAGUUUGGCAAAAUACUGCCUGAAAGCGACAUUCUACCCCAAAUUACUGUCAUAAAUGCUGCGACUGCGAUGGGUAUGGUUAAAAUCACUUGAGGCAUUGACAGAAUGUAAUGAGUAGCAUUGUUGUUAAUUCCGAACUUUCCACUGCAUGGUCUGUGACUCAUCUACUCUGGAGUGUUUUCUCCCCAAAUUUCGUGGAAUUUUUUUCUGCAGGCACAAAAAUCAUUUUCCACUAAUUCACAAGAAAUGUCACCGUCGCCUAUAACAAUAAGUUGAACUGUCUUUCACGUAAGACAUCUCUGCUCUGUAUUGACAACUGGGACGCUGCUUUACUAUUCAUUUACGUUAAUACAACAAAGCAAUUAGAACAAUUUACAGCCAUUGCCUGAGAUACCCUGUCGACAAGGAUAGGUGGAAGUGCUAUGGUAAGUAUCCCGGUUGCAUGAACAUGGCUUCUAAUGGAUACUUGAAGCACACAGAACCAUUCGUGACAAUUUGCAAAUGACUCUUCCUGGAGGUUCUACAACGUUAUGAAUAUUUGGAGAAUAUUGCAAUCGUGAGUGUUCCAGGGUCAACAUGAAGAUACAAGUUAAUACGACCUCAUAGGUCACUUUAUUGACCUUUCCCCUGAGCAGAAACAGGUCCUACAAUCACCUAUUUCGUGCAUACAUGAUAAUGAAUGAUAAUAUAUAAUCAAAUGACUUGCAUCUGACGAGAGAAUGCAAUACUACAUGAAAUGUGAAGAAAUAGUGACCAAGAAUGAUCAAGUGCAAUUCUCAUUUCUUGACCAUUCUUGGUCGUUGAAAUUAGAGCCCCACUUCCGCACCCUCUACUUCAUUAUUGGUCAACUCAAGGGCAAUGCUUCUCAUGUACUGGUCCCCUCAAUCUGCACGAACCCAGAAAACAAACCGCCUUCGACGCCCAUUAUAUUUUGGAUCCAGCCUCCGGUGAAAGGAUCUUGCAUGCUGACUACCUUCGUCGCCGGGACAAGCAGAAACAGCUGGUUCGGCAGUGAUUCAACUUACUUGCUGUUCACCACUUCCAUACGUCUCCGGAUUUCGCCAUCCUUCCCAGUGAGCACCCCAAUCUUGCUCAUGGCUACCAUGGCUUCAGCAAAAUUCUUCUUGAAUACGCCGUCGUCCCUGUUCUUGUAAACGCAGUGUCUAGUGCGGGAGUCGCUCAUCAGAGUCUGAUCGGAGGUCAACAGACCUCGAUGGUGAACGAGAUCAUGGAAAUACCGUCCAUCAAAUUUUUCUGGAGUGGAAUCCAAGUUCACACGGACAAACAUAUUCGGAUUAGGGCACUGCGACUUCAAGUACAACUUGAAACUCGGGGAAUAAGGGUCGGCAUACGGUUCGGGGAUAUCCGAGUGGAGGCGAUUGUCGAAUGUGAUGCAGGUGGCUUUGCCGAUCGUGUGAGCCCCUAAAAACAAAAUAAAAGGUCAGAUUCAAGUAAUUUCUAGUUCGCUUUGAUACUGUACUCAACUUGAAUCAUAAGCGCGAACUGAAUGUGAGUGAAGAUCCACAUACCUGAUAGGACCACCAUUUGAGCAAGAGUCAUUCCCUUGCUCUCGAACAGUUGGAUUAGGUUGGUAGCGUUCGCGCGUGGAGAGGGCAAAUUAGUUAAGUUUACAUCCUCCACCUUGGAGACAGUCCCAUCUCUGCGGCCACCAGGCACGUUCCAUCCGAAGCCGCCAGCCUACUCAAGCAAUAUCCAUCUGUUUUUCAGAUUGAAGUUUCAGAUAGAAAUAGAAGAGCAUCACAUUGACGAGUGAGAGGUCGCUUUUUAUAUCUCAAAAGUGAUCAAACAUACCAGUAUGACUACGUCACGAGUAGCGUAUUGCAGGACAUCAGAACACGACACAACUCCUGGACAGGCCUUCUCGACAGCAUCCUUCGCAGCGUUCAGCGCUUCAAACCCGUGCAAGUUAGCGUUGCUACGAGACGACCGCUCCGUGUUAUUCCCCUUCAGAAGCAAGGAGCAGUCGCACCCCUGAAGAGAUCAUAAUAGAAGCAGCUAUCAAGCACUGGAGGAAUCAAGUGCAGUCGUUUUGAAUAUGUUGAAUGCACAGUUCGAGAAUAUUCCGUGUACUCAAAUGAUAUUAGGAAAGUUGGGAAAUACGAAAUACUAACAGCACUGCGCUAACAACUCAGAGUCAACAAAACUGAAGGUCUAGUUACCCGGACAAAGCAGUCGUGAAAUGACAUGCGUAGGAUGCCAGGUGCAAUCUUCUUGUCUGCUUUGAAACACUUGGAAAUUUCUUUGAAGAUAAUCUUCUCGACGUGGGGACAGCUUCGGUGGUAGUAAUUGUCCCGUAAGCCGCCAUCGGGCACAUGAUGCGUCCCCGAGUUAUGAUGGACCUUAUCAUACUUCGAAGCAGACACAAAGGAGUCCAAGCUCAAUAUUAUCACCACAGCGCAGAGGCGAACGUACCAGGCCGACGCCAUAGAGCGUUGCACCACUAUGACAACGGCGGAACUAAUGCGACGAUCGACCGGUUGCUAAUCGAGAUUCUCAAUCUUCAAGUUGCGUAACAGAUUACACAACUGACUGCGCAUUUAAAAUAUUGCCACAACCUACUUGAAUACAGUUCGCUGCGUAGCAACGCCCCAGGAACGGAGUCGGAACCAAACCUGAUGAUAUCGUGGACUGGGGUUUCCAGGGGCUUUAAAUCUGUCCUCGAACAACCAAAUACAUUUCUGAGGUUUCAAGCUACCAUGUACACCGACGUUGAUGCUGGCACCGGUGACCUCAAAGACACCAGAGAUCACUUGUGCAGAGACAUCAUGCAUUCGUCUGUCUUUAUGAAUGCGUUGCUAAGACUCAGCCUAUCUUGACAACAACAACAACAACGUCAACGCGGGGUAGCACUAUUCUGCACUUGUCGUGCACGAGCUUCGAAGGUCAACGCUUUUUUUAUCCUAGGGCUCCUUCGACAGCAGGGAUUUGCCUCGCCUUGGUGACAUGAACUGGAGGAUCAUGGUCAGAUACCAGAACACCCUGGCUAGAAAUCUGAAGAACUUUUCUUGGAUUAUGAGGUGACAUUGCAGUAAACCUAACACGCUCCUCUACCUGAUUCAUAGGCUUCGACUGAUCUGGUGCCCAUUUAUACACCUGCUAGAUUUUGUCCAGAAGGGAAAACGUCUUUUUAGGCGAAUUAUCGGCAUGUUGAUAGCUGUAUGGUUCCAGUUUUAUCAAAACACAAAACAAACAUAUUCAUAUUUCUAAGCAGAUUGUUGUAGCAGAGGAAAGAUAUGUCCAAGAAUAUGUCAUAGUUGCAAGUUUCAUUGGUGGUAAACCAAAUGUCACAUUCAAGACAUGGUUAGAGAGACUCAAUACUCUAUUUAUUAUCAAAUGGAGGACUCAUUGCCAGCAACUAGAUUGGGCAAGGCUUCUUCUGCCUUCAAGCUCCAAACCCUACAAUUGUACAGCAAGUUCUCUUGCUUACACCAUAUGGAGACAAUGGCCUCAUGUGCAUCUUUCAGCAUUGGAUACUAAAUUUCGACUUUAAAAGCAGGAAAUGUAUGUUGAUUCCUACCUAGAUAUCACUCAAAAACUUGUCAUGGCAAUUCAAAGCUGUUACAACUGAAAUUAUUUGGUCUCUAGGAAAAGUCAUUGAAAUGGACACUAAAAACUGUCUAUUCAAUGAACCAAGGUUCUGCAUCAUACUUGAUACUAGCCAAGAGUAGGAGACAAAAAUUGAACUUGAAGGUAUGUUGACCAAGAAUCUGAUAUAGGUUGUUAACUAUUCAAAUCUUUCUAUUCUUUGCAAGCUCUAUAUCAAAACCAAUCAUCAAAUCCAAAAUUAUCCAUUGAGAAAUGACGCCAAUAAAGACGAUCCUUCUAUGCAUAUUCAUCGAGCUAUCAAUGUCAAACCACAACAAUACCAUGCAUGCUAUCACGGACAUCAUAUUUAUUCUAAUAAUUACCUAAAUGAUUAAGUAGAAGUAGAUAAAAAUAGAGUUAUUUCAUAAUAUCUUCUAAAAAAGCUUCCUAAAAGCUUUACAAAUGCUACUUUGACUUUACAUAUGUUUGUAGUUAAUUGGUAGGUUAGAAACUUGAUCAAUAAAUUAGUUACAUGACACACAUAUUAGUAGCUUGUGGAAGAAGCUAAUUAUAUGGUACACAUAUAGAUAACUUGCCUUGCAAGUUAAAUCAUAUGUCUAGCAAAGUCAACACAUGUUGGAGGUCUUAUAGAAUAUUGCCACAUUAGAAAGUAUUUUUUGAGGCAAGAAUAAAGUCUUUUUCACUCUUGUUAAUGUCUUUUCAGUCCUUAGUCUUAUUUCAAGUCUUUUUAGUCUUCUUGUCUUUGGCAAUAUAGUAUCAUCUUUGAGUGAUUUUGUAGUCUUUUUGAGUGACAAAAGAAUAUAUUGAGAUUUUCUUUCUUUAAGAUUCAUGCCCUUGAAAAUUUGACAAAAGUGCUAAUUCAUUGUUCUUCUCUUGUUUUAGAAGUGAGUAGAUUACCUCACUUCUGUUGUUAUAUUUUGAAGGUUGCAGAUUAUCCAUCUUUAAAUAAAUUAUUUAAUUUUCUAUUAUUGAUUUUUUUCUUUAAAGAGAACAAAUUAUCUUUCUUUGUAAAAAUUUUCAUUUGAUAUUAGAGGUUGCAGAUUAUCAUCUUCUAAUUUAAUUUCUGGAUUUGUUAAGUUAUUUAAAAUAAAAGAAAAAAUCAUGGAUACUACUCUUUGUAGAAGUGAGAAUAAAUUUGCAACUAUUGCAAAUCUUCAUGAACUUAUCAAUACACAUAGGUGGACCCUAAACACUAAUCAUAUACCUAUGGAAAAAAUUCAGAGUCUAUGUCAAGAAGUUAUAUAAUUGAAAGAAAUAAGUAAAUCAAUCUCACAACCAAAUCCAAAAAGUUUUGCUUCUACAAGUACAAUGAGGAUAAGGAUUAAUAUGCUUAAAAAGUUUGAUAGAGCAAGAUCAAAAUUUUAAAGAUUUUUGCAACAAAUCAAGUUCUAUCUAAGAUUGCAUCUCUUCCAAUAUCCUGAUGGAUUUACUCAAGUUGGAUUUAUAAGUACACUUCUAUACAGAAGUGCUUUCUCUUGGUUUGCACUUUUGAUAGAAAAAUACUCAUGACUUGUUUAUGAUUUGAAUUCAUUCCUAAAACUUUUUACAUCCACAUUUGGAUAAAAUAAUUGAGAAAAGAAAGUAGAAAUCAAGCUUUUAUUUUUACAAUAAAAUCAUGAUCAACCACUAUAUAUGCUACUAAAUUCCAAAACCUUACUUACAAUGUGGAUUGGAAUGCACUUAUCCAUUAAUUUUGAUACAGAUUGAAGAAUAACGUCAAAGAUUUGUUAUUGUUAAUGAUAUAAAUAAAAUCUUUGAAAUAAUCUAUUACUCAAGCUAUUCUAUGUGACAAUUGAUUAUUUGAAAGGCAUCAAGAAUAAAGACUUGGUUGAAGAAGAAUAAGUCAAGUAAUGAUGGCAACUCCUAAGUUUUAAGAAAUUUAUUCAUGAACACUGGAACCAAUGGAAAUUUAUAUAGUAUGUUUUAAAUUCCUCAUAGAAGAUAAAAAUAUUUGACGUCAUCAAUAAGGUUUAUACUUAUAUUGUAGAAAAGCUAAGCAUACUAAUUAACAUUCUCUAAAAAAAUAAUACAAUCACAAAAAGAGGAGCACAAUUGCCAAAGAAAGAUAAUAUAUUAGAAACAAGUUUCUUAAACUGUAAUAUAGACUAUGUGGCUAGAAUCAUGUACAACACCUAGUAAAGGUCUUAUUUUUUCUUCACAUCUUUCAUCUUGUUUUAUAAUAGAUGUGUGUUUAAGACCUAAAAAUCACAAAGUCUUUGCAUUAUUAGAUUUAAGAGCCUCAUUCUAUUUUAUAUAUAAAGACUUUGUUAAAAAAUAAGAAAUAUUUUUAAUUAAGAAAACUAAAUCCAUACAUAUAGAAGUCAUAGAUGGUCAUUUGUUAUUUUCUAGAAAUAUUAUUUAUGAGAUUGUUCCAUUAAAUGUAGUAGUUAAAGAUCAUAAUAGCAUAGUAAUAUUUAAUGUGAUAAGAUCUACCACCAAUCCAAUUAUUUUAGAAUUAUUGUAGUUAAAAAAAUAUAACCAUCAAAUAGAUUGAAUUUCUUCUAAUUUUAAUAUUUUUGAUAGUUCAAUCAAAAAUAUUAUUAGUCAAGUAGAAAUACAUAAUUCUAAAACAUCUUAACUCUUAUUAGUAAGUGCAAGAGCUUUCAUGCAUAUUACAAAAGAAGAGUUAUCUUUUGCUAUAUAUGUUUUUAUUUAUGAAGAAAAACAAUGGAUCUUUGUAGAUGUGUAUAGAGUAUCAAGGACUUAACAAGAUCACCAUUUAAAAUAAGUAUCUCUUAGCUUUGAUUUCAAAACUUCUUGAUUAAUUCUAUGAACUAAAGAUCUAUAAAAAAAUAGAUCUAUGAGGAGUAUACAAGCUAAUCUGCAUCAAAGGAGUUGAAUAGAAGACUGCUUUUUGAACUAGGUAUAGACAUUUUGAAUAUAAUUUCAUGCUUUUUGGACUUAUAAACAUACUAGUUAUUUUUCAACAUCUUAUAAAUGUCAUUUUUGUGAUUUUCUUGAUGAUUUUGUUAUCUGUUAUUUAGACAACAUUCUAAUCUACUCUAAGAAUAUAGAAGAACAUAAGCUUCAGGUUUGUUGUGUAUUAGAAAAACUUAGAGAUGCAAGAUUAUAUGCCAAGAUGAAUAAGUAUGUAUUCCACACUUCUCAAGUUGAUUUUCUAAGAUACAUCAUUUCCAAUAAAGUUCUAAUUAUGCAUCCAAAGAAGAUCCAAACUAUCAUAAAUUGGAAGAUUUUAAGAAUAAUAAGAAAUAUGCAAUGCUUUUUGAAAUUUUCCAAUUAUUACAAGAUCUUUAUUAAGAGUUUUUUUCAAGUUAUGGAUUUUAUUACAUAUAUGAUAUGUAAAAAUAAACUUGAAUAGAGGAAAGAAGCUAAAACAUCAUUUGAAGCCUUCAAAGAUAACAUCUAUUUUUAUAUCAAUAUUCUAUCAUGUCAAAUUUUUCAAGGUAUUUUUUAAGAAAACAAAUACAUCAAUCUUUUCUAUGUGUAUUGUUUUGUCACAAAUGGGAGCUAAUGAUAAGUUCUAACUGAUAACUUUUCACUAUAGGAAAUUUUCAAUGGUCAAGAUUAACUAUGAUAUCUAUAACAAAGAGCUUCUUCCAAUUAUAGAUUCAUUUCAAGAAUAUCAUUAUUAUUUAGAAGGGGUCUCAAGUCCAAUUACAAUAUAUACAGAUCACAAGAACUUCAAGUAUUUUGUAUUGAUAUGAAUUUUGAAUUGUUGAUAAACCUAUUCAAGUAUGUUUUUAUUAAGAUUUGAUUUCAAGAUCACUUAUUGAUUUGAAAAAUAAUAAGGUUUGUCAAACACCGUUUUUAGACAUUCUUAUCUUAUACCAAAAGAAAAAAAAAUAGCUUUUGAUUAGUAAAGAAUGAUUCUCUUGAAUCCAGAGUAUUUUCAUCUUUGAGUAAUAAAAUCAACAUUAACUAUUGAUUCAACUAUUUUCAAGCAAAUUCAAUCAAGUAUGUCAUUUAAUCCUCUUGUUUAUGAUAUCAAGAAUAAUUCUUCUAAAUCUCAUAAUACUUUUAAGUUAAAGUUCAAAAAUAAUCUAUUCUAUUUUGAAGAAAAAUUAUAUAUUUUAGAAGGCAAAGCACAAUUACAUGUUCUUCAAGCUUGUCAUGACUUUCUAAUAUGUAGGUAUUUUGGAUAUAAUAAGACUUUAGAACUAAUGUUCCAAAAAUUUUUAGUGGUCUCAAAUGAAGAAGGUAGUUAAAGACUUUGUAUAAUCAUGUGAUAUUUAUUUAAGAUAAAAAAUUCAUCAUCAUCAACCUUAUAGACUUCUUCAACUAUUAUUUAUUCCAAAAUAACCAUGGUCUUAUAUUUCUAUGGAUUUUAUUAUGGAUCUUUUAGUUUCAAAUUCAUAUGAUUUUAUAUUUGUGAUAGUAGAUUAUUUUACCAAAAUGGCACAUUUUGUACCAUGUAUAAAAUCUAUCACAAGUGAAGAAACGGCUAGGCUUUUUCUUGAUAAUAUCUAUCGCUAUCAUGGAUUCUUCAAAAAUAUUAUAUUGAAUAGAAAGACUUAAUUUGUAUCAAGAUUUUAAAAAAUCCUUUUCAAGAUUUUAAAAGUAGAUAUAAAGCUCUCUCAUUUUACAUCUUCAAACUAAUAGGCAAAUAAAAUGAGUGAAUCAAGUUUUGAAGUAAUAUUUGAAGUAUACCAUCAUUUAUCAUCAAAAUGAUUGAACAAAUUUUUUACCAUUGGCACAAUUUAGAUAUAAUAUAUUGAUAUAUUUUUCUAUUCAAUAAUUUUUUUUACCAAUUAUGAUUAUUAUCCAUAAUUUGAUACUUUUAUCUUUUUAAAAUUUAUUAAUUAUAUAGAGGAAGAUUUGGCAAAUCUUUUGUGAAAGCUAUAUAUAACAAUGAAGGCAUAGUUAAAGGAAGCUCAAGAAUGACAAAAGAUCAUAGCAGAUGCCUAUUACAAGAAACAAUCACAAUUCAACAUGGAUGAGAAGGUAUGAUUAUUAGGUAUGAUUACUUUGUCACAAUAUCAAGAUUACUUGUUUUUUUGACUAAUUAGACUAUUGUAGUCUUAGACCUUUUCUUAUUUGUGAACAAGUCAAUCUUAUUACCUAUUGAUUACAUAUUUUGGUAUUAUGUAGUAGCACAACUAUAUAAUGAAAAAAAAAGAUAUUAUUAUAGAAGAGCAUAGUAAAAAGAUGUAGUAAAAAAACAAUGAUAAAUUAAAAAAAGAUGAUUAAAAUUUUUGUUUUAAUAUUGUCUUUUAUAGAAGAAACUUCUAUUUACUUUUUAGAGGCAUAAAUAAAAAAAAUUAAAAUAAAUGAGAUAAUAAAUUGAUAUACACAUACUUAGAAGAGAUUUAACAAUAAGUUAAAGUAAAAUUUAUUCCAAAUUACCAAAAAUUGAUACUCAGAGAAGUCAGGUUGUCAAUUUGGAUCAAAAUCAACAAAAUAGGACGAUUUGGAGGUUCUUUUACAUAUCGAAGAGUAGAUUUUGGAAGAAGACUUCAUAAAGCUUCUUAAAGAAUUGAUUUUGAGUAAUUUGAAUUUAUAAUAACUUUGUAAGAAUUUUGCAAAGUUAGAAUUUUUUUAGAUGACUUUAAAUUUUAUGAAAUAAAAUAGGAUUUAUAAUUUGGAUAAUUUCUUGAAUUUUGUGGCAAAUAUGUAAUUAAAAAUAUAUAGAAUUUUGAAUAUAGUUGUGUUAAAAGUUUUUUAUAAAUUUGAACUUAAUUAAAUCGUUGGAUUAGAGGUUAUUGAAGUUCAAAAGGAUUAAGAUACUAAAAAUUGGAUUUUUAGGUCUAAUAAGGUUAUUUAAGAUUUGUAAUAAUUUGUAAAUUGGAUUGAGAUGAUUUUUAUUGGAGCUAAUAGUUGUCUUGACUUUCAACACUUUUGAAAAAUUUGAGAGCAAGUUAAUGGUUCAAUUAAGAUUUAUUGCUAUUGAGAGAUCAAUAUUAUAAUUAAAGAUGGAAGCUAGUUGAUAUCUAAGUGGAUUAUGAUAUUUUUUUUCUAUUUUAUAUAUUUAAUUCUCUUCAAAUUUUUUAUGCUUAUUUUUUACUAAUAAAUUAAAAGAUAUGUAAAAUUUUAAGCAAGAUCAAUAAUUUAAUUGAUAGAUAUUGAGGCUCUAAAACUAUCUUAGGGUUGAUUUGAAUUAAUUGGAUUUUGAUUAGGAUUUAUUUAGAAAUUUAUUAGGAUUUUAUUUAGGAUUUAAAAUUUGAUUAAGAAUUAAUUUAGGAUUUAGGAUCUAAUUAGGAUUGAUUUAGGAUUUCUUUAGGAUUUCUUUUAGAUUUCUUUUGGAUUCAUAAAAGAUGAUGAUUGCUCCUUAUAGAACUUGUUUUUAGAAGGGAAGAUAAUGUCACGGACAUAUAUAUUUAUUCCAAUAAUUAUCUAUUUGAUUAAGUAGAAGUAGAUAAAAAUAGACUAAUUUGAUAAUAUCUUUUAAAAAAACUUUUUAGAAGCUUCAUAGAUAUUGCUUUGACUUUACACUUGUUUAUAAUUAAUUUACAUGUUGAAAAUUUGAUAAAAAAUUAGCUACAUAAUACACAUAUUAAUAGCGUGUGGAACAAGCUAACUAUGUAGUGCAUAUGUAGAUAACUUGCCUUAUAAGUUAAAUCAUGUCUAAUAAAAUCAACAUAUGUUGAAGGUCCUAAGAAUAUUAUCACUUAGCUCUUAAUUAGAAAUUAUAUAUGGAAGAAGAAUAAAGCCUUUUUUAUUCUUAUCAAUAUCUUUUUAGUCUUUAGUUUUAUUUCAAGACUUUUUAAUCUUUUUAUCUUUGGCAAUAGCCAUUUUAAUUCAAUAUAUUAUCAUCUUUGAGUAAUUUUGUAGUAUUUUUGAGUGAUAUAAGAGUAUAUUGAGAUUUUCUUUCUUUAAGAUUCAUGUCCUUGAUACAAGCUCUAAUCCAACAAAAAAAAUACUAAUGAAUUAACUUCAAAAUCAAGAUUGGAGAUCAAAUAAUAUACAAGAAAGCUAGAAGGCUCUCAAAACAAAUAAAGAUGGCUUCUUAAUAGUUAAAAGGUAAUAUAAAAAUAGAAAAGGCUUUUAUUAUUCCACUAUGAUAUAUAGAAUCUAUCCAAUAUAUAGAAAGAAUGCAUCAAUAGGAAUGCUUCACAUGAAUCCAAGCGCAAAUAAAGAAGAUUCUUCCAUCAAAAUUCAUAGUCUCUUAAGAGUCUUAACUACUCUACUUGUAAUAAGGUAUAGAAAAAAAUAAUUAUAUAGAUAGUUGGAACCAUGGAAGUUUUUAGAAUUGGAGUUAACUUAGUAGAACAAGUAAGACCCACCAUAGAACAUUUUGGAAGAAUUUAGGGCAGUUAAUUAGAUAAGGCCUAUCAUAAAAUCUUCUAGAAAAGAUUUAGAACAAUUAUCUAAGGGAACCCACUACCUCAGAACAUUCUAAAAAGUCUACGGUGAUAGGAUAAGGUAUAAAUACGAUUAGCCAAAACCUUUUGGGGCAUCUGGUCAAGUAUAGCUUCAAACCAUUUUUCUUAGUAAAGUUUGGUUUUGUAUCUUUUUAUUUAGUUCAAUUCUAUUUUUUUCCAUUUACUUAGUUGUCUUUUAUAUCAUAUUCUAUGUAGUUAUGUUCAAUUCUAUUCUAGUUUGUUUUGUCUUAUUUUGUGAUGAGAUAUUAUUUUAUAGUGCAAUAGAAGGAUCUUUGAUUUUUGAGAUAGUUUGGUCCUGUUUCAUUGGUAUCAGAGCAAGUGUUAGAUUGUUUACUUUUGGUAGCAUGUAAAUAGUCAUCAUAUAGUCCAAGGUCAGUUGUUGUGGUUAUAUUAGGUACUGUAUUGAGGCUACUAUAAGCUAUUCUUAAAAAGUUAUUUAAGAGGUGAAAAGAUAUUAUAAUAGUAGAGUCUAGUAGAGAAAUUACAAUAUGGGAGAUAUGGCGGAGCAAUCCCAUAUGGAGGCUCAAAUACAAUACUUUUUAGGCCAGAUAGCUACUUUGUAAGAAAAAUAGAAGCAUGAAGAACAAGAGAGUCAAUAUCCAUUAGAUUGAAAUUGAGUAAGCCUAAUACAUACUUUGAAACUUCAAGACAAGAAGUUGUAUGUUAAUGGCUCUUCAACAUGUGACAAUACCUCCAACUAUCCGGGACAAAUAUCAUUAAAGGAAUUAUAUAUGCAGCCAAUUAUUUGAAGGAUGCGGUAGCCAUUUGGUGGCAACAUAAAAUUCAAAGCUAUAGAACUCAAGGUGGAUUUUGUGAUUAGGAGGAAUUUGAAACUGAGUUUAAGAAUCAAUUUUGGCCUAUCAAUGCAAAAAAUAUAGCAUGCGAUCAUUUGACAAAUCUUAUAGAAGCUAUGUCGAUGCAAGAUUAUGUUUCUUGAUUCAAGUCCCUAUAUUUCCAAAUUGGCAAUGUUUUGGGGGAGAGAUGAUGGAUCAAUUCCUACAAGGUUUGAAACUUAGAGUUCACUAAGAGGUGAAGCUAAGGGAUCCACAAACAUUUGAAGAGGCAAUUCGGAUUACAAAGAGGGUCAAUGCUAUAGAUUUUAGAAAUUAUAGAGUACGACUUAUAGCACAAAGUCUUGUGCCGCUAUCCAAUAUUAUGGCAUAACAAUCAAUAUCAAUAGAGAUUGAUGCCUUACAAGGAUCAUUGAUAUUACAAAGACGAGAAAUAUUAGUGUAAAAAGGAUUGUAUUUCUAUUGUUGGAAGCCAGACCAUCAGAUCAGAGAUGGUCAAUGUUGGGCUUUGGUUUGGCCUAGAAUUUGCUUCCUCCAUUCAUCCAAUAUUCACAAAGAAAAGAGUAGUUAAACUAAUGAAAAAAAGAUGUAAACAUGUCCAUGACUAUCAAUGCCUAACUGAGAAUUGUUACCUCAAUCCGAAGGAGACAUGCAAAAGUUCAAAAUAACUACAAUAAAAGAAUACAAAUGGCUCUUUAUGUCUAUAGCCAUUUAGAGUUUGCUCAGCAUUAAUCCCUAUAUCACCAAGAUUGGUACCUAGACUAUACUAUACAUGCAAAAUACAUCCUAUAUCUCAGCCUUGGUUACAAAGACUUCACUAUUGUUCACUCCAACCAUAGAGUAGGAGCUAAACGUCUUUUUAUUGGAGAUACAACAUAAUACAUUUAAAGUCAGUUCUACCAACAAUACUCUAAUAUUCAUUCAAGAUCUUACUCAGUAGUAUUACAUAGAAUUGACAAUCUUUGAGGCAUUAGGGAUAGAUAUAGUAGGAAAAGAUAGCCUGAAAUAUUUUACAAAGAAGGUGCGCUUAACAAUAGUAGGAAAUGGUCCAAGGAAAAUAUAAUAUUAUUAUUUUUAUGGCCCAAUCAACAAACUAUUCUUCAUAUCAAAGUAGAUUUAUUUCCAGCAUAGAAGCAACUUGCCUAUUUCGCCUUGAAACAUAAGAAACUAUUCUACAUAAAUUUUGGUAUUGUCCUUAAGCGAUACAAAUAUGAGAGUUGUUUAUCUUGCUUCUCUAUGGCAUACAAGUCAAUCCAACAUAGCCAUCUAGUUGAUCCAAACUUACAUGGAUAUAAUGACCCAGUCUUCCAAUGAACUAGGGUCAUAUCAUAAAAUCUUUAGCAUCUAUAGUUAAGUCCUAUUUUGGUUGGAAUUUCUAAGUCCUAAUUCAACCAGAAUUACUUGUAUUGGUCUCCAUGCAAUAAAAACACUAUUUUAUUUGUACCAUUUUUUUUUUUUUUUUUAAAAAAAUCCCUGAUUUGACAAACUUUGGGAGUAAAACUAUUCAUUUGAGAUAGCUACUAUGUCAUCUGCACCAAUUUAGGUAUACAAAUAAUUUUAGAGAAAAUUUAUAAUAUAUGGCUUAUUCAUUUUUUUUUGAAUACUGUAAAAUAUUGCGGUUUUUCUUGUAGAUUUGUUAAAGUUAGUAAAGAUUGGGUUCAAUAUUUUUUUUAAUUUUUUUGAUUUUUGAUAUGUACCAAGUUGACUUGUUGCUUAAAUGAACAAAAGAGGUAAUCAAUACACACAUCACUCUAAGUCCACUUGGUGGAUUUAGGUGACAAGCCAUCAUACAUAUAUUAUGUACUUAUCUAUGUUAGUACGUAUCUUUUGACUAAAUAUAAGUUAGAAUUAUUAUGAAGGAUUCUAACUGAUAAUUUUUUAUUAUUUAUAAUUUUUUACCAAUUAAAAUCUUAUAAUUUAUUCUACAUUAAUCACCUUGUAUAUAUAUAUAUAUAUAUAUAUAUAUAUGUUUAAAUAAGAGAUUUUUUUUAGAUUUAAAUUGUUCAUAAAAAACUAUUGUAAAGAAGAGUUCAGGGUACUUUAAAUUUGUUAAAUAAUAGAAGAGGUUGUUUUUGUAAAUUUGAAUUGUGUUAUAAAAAUAUGUUUUUAGGAUUUUCAAAAUCUAAAGCUAGUUAUAAACAUAUUGAGUAGAAGUGUGAUCUAAAUGCUCUUUUUCUUAGAAAAAUUUCCAAUAUCUCUACAUGAUUAUUUUUAAGAUUUGUGGAGAGUAUAUUAAGUAAUAUAAUAAUAUCCAUAGACUUAUUUUUAGUAAUAUCCUUAUUUUUUUAGAAAUAAAUAAAUAUUUAUUUUUUAUAAUUUAUUUUUUAAAAAAUAAAAUAUAGUUGUGGAUUUUUAUUAUUUAUUGAUAAGUCAUUUAUAUUAAAAUUAAUGAAUAUUUUGAAUACAAUGACUAAUUCCAUAGGUUAUAAGAUAAAUUUAAUAAUUUGAAUUUAAUAAGGCCUAAUAAAACAUCUUAACUUAGUUAAAAUGUAGAUGAAACUUGCUAUACCAAUAUGCUACUAAUUUGAUCUAAUUAAUUCUAAGACUAGAAGUAAUGCAAAAUUAACAUAGUAUUGCAACCAUUCUUUUUUUACAAAAUAUAUUUUUUCUUUAAUUAUUAUAAUAGAUUUUUAGAUGUAUUAAACAAUAAUUUUUUCAAUCUUGCAUUUAAAAAGCCUCAUUUUUCAGAUUUGAACUUCAUUAAAAGUAGUAUAAAAUGUCAUAUUAUAUAAAACAUCUCUCUAAAAGAAAAAAAAUAGAGAAUUAAAAUAAAUAUUGAUUAUCAAGGAAUUAAGAGUAAAAUCAUUAUACAUAAUAUUAUUCAUAAUUAUAGCUAUUUUUUCUACAAUAUAUAAGAUUAUUUUUCUAUCUUUAUAAAUAUUUUGUAAAAAGUCAUUUUUCUAUUAUAUUCCUUAUUUCUAUAAUAAAUCUAGACUAAUUUAGUACUUUAAUAAUCCCAAGAAAUUCUUUAGAGAGAAUAUCAAUUAGAUUUAAUUAAGAUUUAUUGUAUUUGUAGAAUUCAUUUGAAGCAUAAAUGAUAGUUAAUCAAGGAGAAUUGUUUGGGUUUUUCUUAUAAAAUUAUCCACAAACUUAGAUCACCUAAAAUGAUUCUAUAUCUUCUUCUAAAUUUAUAGUAUAAUUUAAUAUAAGAAAAACAAAAACUACUUGUUUUUUUCUUGUUUAGAUGUGUAAAAUAUUUUGUAUAAAUUUUAAAUGACUUUGUUUGUUCUAUCUAUUGAUGCUAGAGUGCACCUCUAAAAACCUACUUGAAUUCAGCAUGGGUGAUAGAAAUCUAUCUUUAAUGUUUGAUACUAAGUUUCUAGUUAUGGUCAUUGGAUCAAUAAUAUUUUUAUUUAAAUUUAAAAAUAAGUGGAAAUCAUAUUUGGAAGUCAUAAUUUUCUAGCUUGGAUUCUAUUAAAUUCUUAUUGCUCAACUUAGAGUUAAGGUGCAAGAUCUAUGGUUUGUUCUAAUGUGGAUAUAAUAAUUUUCUAAUUUGAUGAUUAAAUUAAUAGAUUUUUUUAAUUUUUUAAUUUUUUGUGGUAAUAUUAUAUUAAAAUAAUAAUAUUAUAAAAAAGGCUAUGUUUUUAGGUGCAAUCUAGCAUUUAACGGUUUUAACAAGAUUAACUUUAAUUAAGUUGGUAGAGUGUCUCAAAAAUUAUGUAGGUCAUUGUAAUAAUAUUAAAAAGUAUGGCUAGAUUAUUUGUGUGCACCACUUUAAAUAUAGACAACAUUAAGUUGUUGAUUCAUAUAUAUAUAUAUAUAUAUAUAUAUAUAUUUAAUUGAAUUGUCACUUUCUAAACUUGAUCAUGGUUUGACGUAUUGUAGAAGUAAAAGAUGAUAUUGUAUAUUUUUGAUUCUAUAUAAAAUCAAUGUUAUGUUCUUCAAAAUUAGAAUUCCACUUUGUUCAAAACUUUGUUUAGCACUCUUCUUUAAAACUAAAAGUUCCUACUUUAACAAUGAAACUUUCAAUUUUUAACUUGCAUUUGGUUUUACAAUUAGCCUUGAAGUAGGCAACUUGAAUUGGUCCAUAAGUUUUAUUUUCACAAGAUUUUAUUAUUUUUGGUAUAGAAUUAAAAAGUAUUUUAGAUUUCAUUAAUCAGAAAACCAUCAAAACUUUUGCUCAAAAUUAUCAACUACACUAUACUCAACAAAAUUUUAUCUUAGUUUUGUAUGCCUGCUGCAUGUUGGGCAAGUUCCAACCACGAUUUGAAGGAAGAAACUGAGGAGCGGCCCUUCGCACUCUCUCAGUUCAGUCCAGAUUCUUCCUACCAAUCAGACAGGCGCACCAUGAAAGGGUGCACCAGGAAAGGAUACACAGAAGCAAGAGAUCGCAGCUUCCAAAAAACCACAAGUGAUAAAGUGCUCCAGCUCAGACACAGAUAAAUGAUUGGCAACGCAUAUCGACACGCCCAAUCCUAGCGAGAGCUCGCUUAGACUGCGAGGCUGUUUUUCACAACUACCCAGAAGAUGGCAGACAACGAAUACGACGCCGCGUACCCGGCGCGGCAACGAUCUCCUUUUCCAUUUUUACUGUUUUUGUUUCAGUGCGGGAACUCCAUUUUCUGUCGUAAAACGAGUUCUGGAACGAGGGAAGAAAAUUGUCAGUCACGGCAUCUCGGUUCCGAUCCAGGUUUGUAGCGCCGAGUUGCUCUUCCGUAUUCCCCGUAGGUUGACUAGUGGUCUCUGCUCACCAUAAAGCUCCUAUAACUCCUCCCUGAAGCGGAGGACGUUCAUGUGGGAUGGAUCCGCAAAUUUCGAGAUGGCGUUGCUGUUGAAUUCCAUCUCCUCUCCCGUUCGCGAUGGUGUUACGAAAUAGUCACGCUAGUGCCACGCAAUCACUCGCUUCCAGAGCUGAGAUCCACUCCGACCCAUGCAAUCCGAACAAUGCAAUCCUGAAAUUAUAGUAGUUAAACCUAGACAAUUAAUGUCUAAGUAUAACUACUGUAUACAAGUCGACCCAUGCAAUCCGGAAAAUAAUAUACCAGGAAAAUGUGUUUUACACGCAAUUAAUGUCUAGAUAUAACUACUGUAAUCUGCUUGGCCAAUUAGUGACACUCUUUUGGUAAUGGAUGAAUGUGGAUAAAUUCCGUCAGUAGGACGAGAAUAUCAACAAAAUAUACGAGUGCUUCCUUGCGAGGAUGCAGGCAAAAGUCUGAACCUGCAUAUCAGGGACGCCCUAGGCAGAGACAGAUCAAUCCGAUACUGGCUGUCUAGAUGUUUAGAAAUUUGGGAAAUGGUGGCAAUGUUGGUGUCAUUAUUGAAUAUAUUCACGAAGUCUUCAUAAAUGGUUCUUGGAGAGCAUGCAGCGCGAAAACGCCGUAGCUCUCGUCGGGAAACUCCUGGGGCAGAGUGAAUUUAUUGACGCUCUUUCUGUCAUACUUUAGGGUGGCGAUGUCGACGAAGGGUGACGAACAUGGGAGAAUCUGUUGACACCUUACUCCGUGUUCCCGAUGUCGUUGUGGUUGCCAAGGAUCAUGAAAGGAAGGUUGGUUUUCUUCGACAGCGAAGGGACGUAGAUAAGCCUGGCCAGGUUCUGCUUCGCGAGGGCAAUGCUGAUGACGGUAUCGUUCGAGAUAAAGCUCACCGAAGCGAGUGUCUGGCAGGAGCGUCACCGAGCAAGGAGGAGCCUAUCGCGGUCGUUUAUUGUAGCUCAGUACUUUCCGGGUGUAUCCUGGAUCGCAGUGAACCAGAACACUGUAGGUCUGGCCACAUUAGACGUCUGCCACGAUGAUCGUCAUUUUACGAUUCGACCUUGAAGAGGAAAGAACUACGAAUUGUGAGCCCUGCAAUCAAUCCCUACAUCAGAGUUUCCAGAGUAAUGAUAAAAGUCACCAUGGAAAAUUCUGAUCACCAUUAGAAUGAAGUUGAAAGAAGACAAGAACGCAAAAGUGGCGAUGUGAAUGCGAAAAGUCUUUCUAGAAGUGAAUGCAACAUAUGAAGCGCGCACGCACAGGUGCUUGCGUUGCACUUCAGGCAGCCAAGGAGCAGGUGUACUUACUGCGAUUCCCAACCAAUAAGGACUGGGCACGAAACACCUCACUGGUUUCGGAAUAAUUUCGAUUUCUUUGGACAACAAGCAAUGCAAUGGUAUUCCAAAAUUCAGUUUCUAGCCAUCAGAUUGAACUUGCCGAAUGCUGUGGAUGCAUAUCUGUGGCUCGCCAAUGAAUCUGGAGGCCCGGCUGUUCCUGCUGGAUGGACUUGUGUCACUAGUCGUUGAGAAGGGCUCCUUCUUUGUGACUUGUCAUCGACGCAGUGAGAACCACGAAGUCCAGCAGAUCGGUGCAUUCUGAAGUGUCCAUAUUGGAAGCAAAUCACAAAUUUCACUCGGCCAAGUCCACCUAUAUUAUCAAUGCUGGACUUGCAAUUAAACAUAGUUCAGGGAUAUUCGCUCCUUUCUGUAUUUCUGAGUGAAUGUCUCUUCCCGGUCAAUCUGACACUGGGACACAUUACCAUAUCCCCGGAGAGUUUUAAUCCUCUCUGCAUACAAAGCAGGCUGCGAUACAUUCUUCAUUACAUGCAAUCCUAAUCUUCAGAGAUCGUGGCUGUGAAGUGAUACGGAGGAUACAUUCUUCAUUUCCACUUUUCUUGUGGCUGGUUCAUUCCCGAAGUUUAACUGAACCCCACCAGAUGUAUACCGUCCCAAAGUAGUAAUAAAAUUUGUAGGAAUGUGGUUUCUUACCCUGGCCCAGAGUGUGUUCCCUUCUGAGACCCAAAUUGGAGGUCAUGUAUACGCAAUUUGUACUGUACUAGUUUUUUCCCCCCCUUAUGCGCACUUUAUACAACCAUUAUUGGUAAUUAGUCUACCGUCGAAUUCCAGAGAUUACAACAUGAACAGCUUCAGACUAGUUCCAGGGCUGCCGAUUUGUGCCAUCCUGCUCUGCAAUCUGAGCACUCUCAAGGUUCCUCGAGAACUUCCUUUUAAAACAAAGUAUAAAUGUAAAUUCCUCUGGGGUGUUUGAUCCCUUGCACUGUUUUAUCCGUGAGCCUUGCCUUCUACAAUUACUAGCUGAACUCAUCUCGUUGUCACGGGAAGUGUGACUUAAAAUCAUUUAUAAUAAUUAUUUAUAAUAAUUAUUUCAAUAAAUUAUCAUAUUAUUGAAAUUAAUUCAAUAAAUAACUUCAAUAACUAUUGGAAUUGAAAUAAUUGGUCCACCAGAGCAGGUACUUUAAACUAAAAGGAUUCAAAUUGUAACAAUUUACUUUGGAUUUAUGAAUUAUAAUUUUUCCUGUAGUCAAGACAAUCUGCCUUGAGUAAUUCAUGUUGCAAAAAUAAAUAAAUAAAUAAAAGAUCAUGAACUACUCUACCCCAUAAGAUUCAUUUCUUGUUUGUAGGCAUGGUAUUAUAGCAUAUCUGAUGCUAUAAUAAACAUAUUUUUUAUGGGAUGAUUAUAUGAUCAGAUACUAUGAGAUAGGAUCCAAACAUCUUCCCAAUGCAGUUACAAACAGAGUUGUAGCUUUAUGUCAAAAUUUCUAAGCCUUGAGUUAAUCUUUAUCACUUGUCAAUAGGUUUGCCAAAUAAAUUAAUUAAUGCAACUGAAACCAAACUUGUCCAAAUGUCUUUCAUCUUACAUAUCUUUUAGUGAUUUAAUGGUAUAAAUUUGUUACAUUUUCAUACAAAAUUCCUUGCAAUUUUUAACCUCUUUAUUAAACUUUGGUUGAAUUACAAAAAGAAAGUGUUCUCUCAAAAUGAAAAUUGAAUCCACUAUUUCUCUACAAAAUAAUAAAUAAACUCUAAAAUUCAAAAUUCAAUAUAUAAAUUCAAAAUUUUUAGUUGAACAAAUCAAGAUUUGUGCCAUUGUCACAAAAUCCAAAAUUUACUUUUAUCUUAUGAAUUCUUUGUUUAAAUUCCACGGUUUCUUUGCAAUAUAUGUUUAACAUAGGUCAAAGUAAACUUAAUCCACAGAAUAUAAUAAACUACAUUUUCUUCUAAAUGAAUAAUACACACCAUGAAGUUGUUCCCCUUAGAAAUUCAAUCUACUUGGUAAGACACUAUAAGUAUCAUUAGUAGAAGUGAUGGCAAGAAUAUAACUUAAAGCUAAGUAGAAACAAAGCUAUAUAAACUCCUUCAAGAGAGAAAGUAUCAACUUUUUAAUAAUAUGUUAGCAUCAAAGAGCCUUAAAAUCUUGUCUUUUACAUGCAAUACAUAAGUAGUUGUUUUAGUUGGUACUACAACCUCUAGUUUUGAUAAUGACUUGCCUAAUUUGGCAAUAAAUUUUGCUUCGUUGUAGCUCCUUGGAUAUUAAGAUGGAUUUAAUAGUAAAUAGUAAAUAAGGAUAUUUUUGCACAUAUUAUUGUAGAAACUAAUGUUUAUAAUGUUACAAAAUCAUACUUGUUAUUAACAAUUUUAUUGUACAUGCAAUGGAGCCAUGCUCUUUUAGAGCACCUUGGAUCUUUUUAUUGUGUAUCAUCUAUUUGUGCAUAUUACAUCAUUUAGCAACUUCAAGCUUGUGUAGAUUGUAGCAUUUCUUUGGUUGUUUAGAUUGAACUUUUAGAUUCCUGUAAAUUUUAACAUUCUUAAGUUGUCACUUAUGCAAGAUCAAAAGAUAAGUGUUGAAGGUCUUUGUAAAUUUUCAACUAACUCAUUCUAUAAAGUUAUCCACCUCUAAUAAAAUAAAUAAAUAAGCAAAUAAUUAAAAAUAGGUUUCAAAAAUAAAAAACUUACAACAAAAAAAAAGAGGUUUUAUAGUAAUAAAAUAAACAUCCUUAAUUUUGUAUUUUUUGGAGGUACCCCUUUAUAUCUGUCUAUAAACAUUAUCACCAUUAGAUGUCCCUUGAUGCAACCCCUUUUUAUAGUUGUCUCCACCUUCAUGACUAUUAUUUGAUCCAUUCUUGAAUCACUUAUUAGCAAUAGCUUCAAUAUCACCUUUUGUUUGUAGAUACACCUAUAUUUACCUAAAUGAUAUAAAUAUGUAGAAAUAAAUAAAAGUAGGUUAAUAUGACAAUAUCUUGUUGAGAAGCUUUCUAAAAGUUUCAUAGAUGCAAUUUCACCUUUAUAUAUGUCUAUAGAUGAUUGGUAGAUUAGAAACUUGGCCAAUAAGUUAGCCAUGUGUCACUUGUAUUGAUAGCUUGUGGUACAAGCUAACAAUAUGGCGUACUUAUAGAAAACUUGUCUUGUAAGUUAAAACAUAGUCUUACAAAUUAGACAUGUGUUGGAGGUCCUACAGGAAGUUUUCAAAUAGCUCUUAAGUAGAUAAUAUAUAUAAAGGCAAAAGUGAAGCCUUCUUCACUCUUGUCAACUCCUUUCUUGCUUCUAGUCUAGUUUCAAGAGUCUUUAGAUUUCUAGUCUUUAGCAAUAUCCAUUCCAAUUUCUUCUUGAAUAUAUGUUCUUUCUUACUAUUAUUUUUUCAUCUCUCUUUGAUACUUAUCUCCUUUUUAUAUAUAUCUUCUUGUGGAUUCUUGUCUUUGACACCUUCUACCAUUUACCUACUAUUCAAAUCACCUAAAAAAAAUCAAAUGGCAUCUUAAAAUACCAAACAAAAUAAAUGUUGAUUAUCAAAGUUAUGCAUUCCAUGUGUGGAGAUUUCUUGCACACCGUUGACUUUUAUACUUGAGCACAAAUCUUGCUAGGAUCAACGCCAAGGUUCUUAAGAUUGGAGAGACUUUUGACAUUAAUAAUUUAUUAAAGGUAGUCUUUUGUUGACUUAAAUAAAACACUGUCUGUUAUUUCUUCUUUUUCUAUUAGAAGCUCAAGUGGGAUUUUUCUAAUAUUAUCUAAAUACAUACCUCUAAAUAUUUUCCAUUUUCAAGCCAUAGUGACUGAGUGUAGAAAUUGAACCUAAACCAAGUUGUGGAAUUCAUCUCCUAUUAUUUCACAACAAUGACAACAAUGUGUUUAGUGCCAUUGUAGACUCCACUUCUAGCUCUUCUGCACCAUCUACAACCCAAAGAUAUAAAGCUAAUUGUUACACAACCAUGAAUUAUUACAAUUCUUCAUGAGUUACUGUAACAACAUAAGUUGAAAGAGAACAUUCACUAGGCAAAGACCAUAAAAACAUCACCCUUGUUGACCAAAAGAGACCAAAAGAGAGUCCACCUACGAAGAUAUACACAAAAUUCCUUGAUGCAUGUCCUUUCUGUUGUUCUAAUGCCUUAAAAAUUAUGCAUGCCUUGAAAGUUGUACAGCUGUUUGGUAUCUUUGGGACAUUUGUAUCAAAUUUGUGCUUAAUGAAGUGAUUAGUUCCUGAUCAAUUAUAAAACACCAUGGAAAACGCCUUGUGGAGUGCCUUAAUGAAUUCUAAAAUGGGUUGUGAACUCUACAAAACAUGAAUUUUUUUGAUGAAAACAAAGACUAGUCCAUGCUGUGAAUGAAAGCCAACACUUGUAUCCUUGAGCAUUUUUAAUAUAUAGAUUGAGUGUGUGUAUGUAUAUAAACUAGCAGAAACCAAUGCAGUUGGGCAUAGAAAAGUUGUUUGCAUCUAGUAAACUAUAAGUCUUUUUGCAAGUUAAGUACAAUUUUUUGCUGAAUAAUGACGUCUUUGAUUUUAAUCAAUGAGGAAGUUCUUUUUAUCUCUUUAUCUUAUACCUAAACUUCAUUAUUAUUAUUAUUAUUAUACAUACGCACACAAAAGUCACAUAUAAAAUGUCCUUAACUGCACUCCUACCAUACCUAUCAAUGUCAGAGCUAAGUCAGUCCUAGUUACUUGAAGUGCUUUAAAGAUAGAUGAGCAGCAAUCUUGCAAAUAUUCCACAUCAUACAUCCAUGGUUUAGAAUACUAAACCAAGCUGCUUGUCUUGGUUUAGAGUCAACCCAAAUUUCUGAUUCAAAGACCAUUGAGUUCCUUUGUGUCCAAAAAACCCACAUGCAUAUCCUUUGAAUCCAUGUCAACACUAUACAAAAUCUCUUCAGAUUAGAUGACAUGCUUCAAUGGACCUGCUUUACAUACAUGUACAGACCACUACUUAUGUUUUUAUUUUAUUUGUUUGUUAGUUUUGAAUUGAUAAAUUUUAUUUAAUUUCAUUAAUUAAAAAUUUAUGAAAAAUAAAAACAAGUUAAUAUAUUUAUUAAUAUUUAUUUUAUUUUUUAGAUUUUUUUAUAAACUGUGAUUAUAUAUGUAUAUAUAUAUAUAUAUAUAUAUAUAUAUACGAUUAUUUUUUCUAAAAAUAUUAGAAUAUUAAAUCUAUAUGAAAUAAUAAUUUUAAAUUAUUUAUUCUUUUAUUCUUUGUUUACAUAUUCUUUUUAUUCAAUUAUAUCGAAAGGAUAUAAAAAAAUAUAUUACAUUAUUCAAAAAAAAUUAUACUUAAAGAAAUGAAUAAAAUAUUAUCUUAAAAAUAUUUGUACAAAUUUUAGUUUUGUAAUCAACUUUCAUAAUUAUUCUUAAAAUAUAGAUCUAUCUAUAAAACUUUGUAAUGUAUUUGAUACAAGAAAAAAUUAAAAUUAAAUAAUAUAAUAAUUUUAUCCUUAUUGAUAUUUAAAUAAUACAAGACAAAUAAUUUACAUAUAUGAUAUAUAAAGUAUAGAAGAUCUAUAAGAAAUAGAUUAAAAGACUUUAUAAUCUUAAAAAAAUAAAAAUAAAAAUAAAAUCUAUAUUGUAGUUAUAAAAGAAAUUUUUAUACAAGUAAUGAUAUAGUAUAAAAAUCUAAAAUUCUUGAAAUUAAUAGAUUUUUUAGAAAAUUUUAAUACAACUUCUUUAAGUUUUGAAAAAACCAUUGCAUUGAGAUUGAUCCAUCUCCAAUUUUGACAUAUAACAUAAUUCAUUCUAUAUAAGAAUAAAAUGCAUUCUACCUCAUUUUUUUCCUUUCUUGAGGCUUCUUGGUUAAUUUUUUAAAGUAUAAAGCCAACCAAGUAAGGCUUCUAGAUUUCAACUAGUCACAAGCAUUUAAAGUUGUAAUCUCUUUCUUUUUUUUAUUAUUUUUUAUUGUGAAAUAUUUAUUCUAAAAAAUAAAAAAUUAUAAUAUUUUCAAUUUUCUUUGUAUAUCUGAUUUAAUUUAGUUAAUUUCAAAUUUGAGUUUUUGAAUUAUUUACUAUAUAUUUCAAAUUUUUAUCAUAAUUAUUUUAAAUAUGAUAUUAAUAAGAUUCAUUUAUCAAAUAUUCUAUUAUUAUAAAAUAUUAAAAAAAAAAUAGAAAAAUAAUAUUUUAUUUAUAAUUAGAAAUUAAAUUUUACUAAGCUAAAAUAAAAUAUAUUUCACUUAAUUUAGAAUAAUUUAAUACUAUAAUAUAUAUAUAUAUAUGUAUAUAUAUAUAUAUAUAUCAUUUUUUUCUUUGCCAAAAAUUUAUUUUUUGUUGAAUUUAACAAUUAUUAUAUAUUUUUAUAUAAUAUAUGUAUUAAUAUAUUGCUUAAUGUAUAUUCAAGGUUCUUAAUAUUAAAUUUGUUUUUAUUUUUAAAUUAAAAAAUAUUAAAAAAUAUAAUUUUAAUUAUUUUAUAAGAACAGUAAAUGAAUCUUUUAUUUAAAAUAAUUUAAUUUUUAAAUUUAGUGUAUAAGUUAAUUAUAAAUUAUAUAUGUCAAAAAAGAAAUAUAUAUAUAUAUAUAUAUAUAUAUAUAUAUAUACAUUACAAUUAAAUAAUUUAAGUUUUUUUUAUUAUUAUUGGCAAAAAAAAUUCUUAUAUAUUACAAUUUAAAUAGCUAAUUUUAAAAAAAAUCAUAAUAAACUAUAUUUAUAGUAGAGUCUUUAUUUUAUUAUUUUCAAGAUAGAGAAUCUUGAUCAUAUUUGGAGAAGGCAUUGUAAGAUGGCAACAUACAAUUGUUUAUGUGUACAUAUAGAUGUUCUAAGAUCUAUUUCUAUGUUCUUCAAUGAUUGAAUUAGAUAUUUGCUAAUGGUCAUUGUAAAUAUGGCUUUUGUCAUGGACAUAUAUAUUUAUCAAGAUUGAAGGAGCUAAAUAGGACUAAGUAGAAGUAAAUAGAUUUGAUAAUAUCUUAUAUAGAAGCUACUUAGAAGCAUUAUAGACUUAGAUUUGACUUUAUACAUAUUUGUAGAUGGUUGGUAGAAUGAGAACUUGGCCAAAAAAUUGGCCUUGUUUUGCACAUGUUGAUGGCUUAUAUUACAAGUUGGAAAUAUUAUGUAUAUGUAGAAAACAUGUCUUGCAAAUUAAACAUGUAUUCUGCAAGUUGGACAUAUAUCAUAGAUUUAAUAGAACCUUGUUACAUAUCUCCAAGUUGAAAAGUAUAUAUGGAUGUAAUAAUAAGGCCUUCUUCAAUCUUAUUCUUAGGUUUGUUUUAAGAAUCACUAAUUAUCUUGUUUUUAGCAAUAGUCAUUCUAAUUUUAAUAUUAUGUUAUCUUUGAGUGAAUAUCUACUCUUUUUUAGUGAAACAAGAAUAUAUUGAAGUUUUUAUUAUUUGUCAUUUAUGUCUUUAGCACUUCUAUUGAAAAAAAUUAGAAAAUUAAAAAUUAAAAAAUUGAUAUAACUUAAAUGGAAUCUUUGUAGAUGGCAAGCAUAAUAUAAUCCUUAGAAGAAAAGCCAAUUGCUUUUUUUAAUUCCUAAAUAACACUAUUGCAUCUAUAAUUCAAUCAAUCAAUAAUUUAAUGAUCAAGUAUAAUCUAUUGCAAAGUCCUUAAUACAAAGCAAUAUUUUGCAAGAAUAUAAUGAAAUAUUUAACCUUCAACUCCAAGUUUAAUGUUGGAUUUUGCUUGCCACAUUGUACCUCUCCAUCAAUCAAAAAACUUCUGUAGUUUCUCUAAACAUCCAUACUAAUGCAACAAAUAAUAAAACAAAGACCUCCACCAAUAUAACCUCACAUCCUCUUCUACACUCCAUGUUCUUUGCUAUAGCCAAUACUAGUUAUUUUUAAUGCUCCCAAUUUGCAAUUACCUCCCAAUCAUGAGCAAACUCUAGAAAGAAAGCCCUCCACUAUCAUCUACCUUGACUCAACAAUGUCUAUCACAAAUGGACCAACAUUGUUUGUUUUCAAAUGGCCCAUAAUGACUACAACUCAUCGCCUCAUCCACAUUUCUCUCCUCUUAUCUAUCCUCAAAUAUUCACCCAAUAUGUGAUGCCUUCCUUGCUUCUCAAUAUCCUCUUCUUGUUGCCUACCAACGUGCCCAAUUAUACCUCUUGCACAUGCUUAUUACGAACUACCAAAUUGUUGUUGGUUUUGGUCCCAUAGAUGGUUACAACAAGGGCAAAAAAUGACAACUAUGAUGAUGUUCACCCCGCCUAGUGUGCUUAGGCCACCUAAAACCCCAGCUAAUCUUUGUCUUUUUUAAACAUCCUUUGUCACCAUUCUGCUUCCUUUUUAUGCCUCCUUGCCCCUAGUUGCCUCUUACCUACUUUGUCACAUCCCUAGAUGGAGCUUUCCUAGCUCUUGCUUGUUGUUCACAAUGCCCCUAAUUAUAAAUCGUAUAAGAAGGGGGGAUAUCAGUCCUAUUGUGCAGUUCUACCUUUGUUUCAUUCUCACUGUCCAUCAUUAUGUCCAUGCCAAUGUAAAAUCAAUGGCUCCACUUUGGACAAUUGCAAGCACGUGACAUGCCCUUAGCUCUGAGUUCUAAGGCUCACAAUUGAGCAAAGCCAUGGCAACAUGUGAUGCCUAGGGAUUUUUGUUGGUGGUUACAUCGAGUUACUUACAAAGGCAACUAGACCAAAGAUAAGAGAUGUGUGCUAUUAAAUUGGUCCUGUACAUGAAUGUAAAAUUGUACUUAUUAAGUAGCAAAUCAUAAAGACAAGUUUUAUCUUUUCUGAUACAUGGUCUGUACAAUUGUAAUAUAAAUAGUGUUUUAAAUUGGAUAUAAUAUAACAGGCUUAGCACAGAGCUGUUUGCUAGUAUGAGAAUGUUUUUAGUGUAAAUCUAUUUUUACCGAUUACAGUAAGACAACAAAAUAACAAAGUAUAAGAUUGAAGAUGUAUGCAUUCAUUUAUUUAUAUUAAACCAAUUUGCCCUAUAAACAAAAAAUAGUAGUGUUAGUAUAAUGAAAUGUAAAUGUAUAAUCUCACUAACAUUGCAGAAUUACACAUAGGCUAUUAUCAUUUUGGAAUGUGAACAGUCUAAAUACACAUAUCAUGAUAUCCCAUAGAUGUAUAUAUUGUUUGAUACAAUAGAAAGCAGUCACUUUGCUUGGGAUAUUUUCACCUUGCGAAGUUUACCAACUGACCUGAUAACAUUGACUGUUAUCGAUCCUACUGCACAAGAUUAGAAAAAUUUCAAGAUUUAUCUACUGCUAUGUUUACUGUUUACGAUUACGAGGGCAUUCCGAAUUGCUAAGGUAUUGAGAGUGUUCGUAGUGUACACAUGCUGGUUUUGGGCUAUCGCAUUUCACAAAAUUUUACUGCAACGGUAGCUCAGCUAAAUACCUUACAUCCUCAUCAGUGUCGUUUAUGGCGCGUUAAGUCAGAUGUAUCAGUAUCGUCCCAUUUACAAGAUUUCAGAGUUGCGUACUUCCAGCUGAGGUAGACAAACGAACACUGCUGACAAAGUGAAAGUCAGAUUGUUAAAAUUGAGCAGCGUGGGCAUCUAUUGAUUCAGGACUGGUUACACUGUGAAAAUGUCAAACAAUGGUUUUUUUUGCCAUCUUCAGUGUUACUAAUGCUGAAUCCUAAAAGUCUGUGACAAAUACUAUAUUGCUCUCUUACUGUGAACCCUUCAUUUGGAUUGACCAGGGGGUUUCUACAUAUUCUAAUUCCGUACUCACACUUGCACAUGUAUCACAUUCGGUGUUGUGCUAACCUCUAAUAAGUUGGCCUGGACCCAUCAAUUAUUAAAAGUUCAAGUGGUCCAGACAAUGAAGACGGUUACCCUUCAUUGCUGAGAUAAGAACUGUUCAAACUGAGUUCAUUCUCUAAUGGACCAUGUUUUAAGUUGAAUGUAAGAUAGUGUGAUAUUUUCUCGUUCGGGACACCAGCGCGAAGAAUCACAAUCUAAAAAAGAUAACGCGGUAUGGAUUACACUAUCACAGGUUGAAAAGUAAGCCAAUUUUAACAUAUUAUACCGUUCGGACAGUAGAUUUAAAAUCUUACUUCAAAAUCGGGUUUUCAGUCAGCAACUCAGGGACUACAUUCGGCAAUCGAAUUAGAUCGAAAUGUUGAUGUAAAUAACAAGACUCUGAAGCAAGUAGGGAGAAAUCAAUGUCAACAUCAGUCAAGAACAGUAGACAGAGAUAUAAACACAGUGGCGAAAAAGUUACAACAAAGACGAAUUCGAGUGGUAUGCGGCUAAGAAACACAAGCAAUGUAGAAGGUCACAACAGAACAAGUUUCUGCACACAAAAAGUUGGGUAGAAAGACGAUUCGAUUAGGAUUAACGAAAGUGGGAUCCUAGUCACAUGACAGUCUAUAAUUUCACCGUUCACUGGCCGAGCUCAGCUUUCUUCUUUGCCCACAGCCUGUCCAGAGCACUGUCGGCAUCGCCCUGCAAAAUAAUCGGAAAAUGUGUACAGUGAAUAAUUCAUUUUCCAAAUCACCACGUCCUUGUAUCACGGGUUUUAGGUUGGGUUACAGAGUCCCAAACUCUCAAUAUUGCAGGAUUCCUUUCAUUCAUCGAACACUGCCACCCAGUUCCUUAGAGCGCUCAUUCGACUGAGGAUAAAGAUCAUUUGGACGCAUGAAUAUGCUCCGCGAUACAUUAUGCUUAAUAUCCGCGACAAAGCCAAUACAAGAACGACAUAAAGCCGAUCAGAGAGAGAAUGUCAAGCUAAAAAAAGGAAUUGUCACAAACCUGAGCACGGACGAAGCCGCACAAGGCAAAAGUGGUGAACUGGCCGGUAUACACGCCGUUCUCGUCAACGUGACCCACAUUCAGCUGAACUGAAGCGACAUCCUUGGAAGUGAUCAACCUGUUGGUCGAAGAGCUGCAGCCGCAUAGACAAUCCGUACACAAAUCAAGGGACUUCUCGAAGACUCCACGAGCAACUGAUAUUCUUCUCAGGCACAGAAAAACCACGGCAACAGAGGGCAUUACCCUCAACAGCACUGACGUAAAAUAACCUAAAACGGCUAUCAUCCAAACCGCCCAAAGUGCAACCAACGACAUCCAACACAAGUAACCUCCAUCUCGUCUCAACGAAACCCAAACCCAGUCCCGUAGAAUCUCGAGGCUUACUGACCAUUACGCAAAACAAAUAGAUGCUGGAACAAACUACCUGUCAGCCACCGAAUUCCCAAGCCCUAAAUUAUAAUUCAUAAACCAUAAACAACAAAAGCGGAAACAAAACGCGAGUU